This is a non-coding RNA of Protopterus annectens (West African lungfish), 82 nucleotides long. The record is from the annotation of a RefSeq genome assembly. NCBI's taxonomy places the organism in Eukaryota, Metazoa, Chordata, Ceratodontiformes, Protopteridae.
GUAGUCGUGGCUAAGUGGUUAAGGCGAUGGACUACAAAUCCAUUGGGGUCUCCCUGCGCAGGUUCGAAUCUUGCUAACUACG